Aphis gossypii (cotton aphid) is the source of this 2605-nucleotide long non-coding RNA. RefSeq lists it as uncharacterized. NCBI's taxonomy places the organism in Eukaryota, Metazoa, Arthropoda, Insecta, Hemiptera, Aphididae. The record is from RefSeq and is a predicted model, not a curated record. The transcript is spliced from 4 exons.
AAAGAAAAGUAAACUUUUGACGUCAUCCGCUGUCGGUCACAGCUAUCGCAACGUAGUUACCUAAUACAGAGGUUGAUGCGGGGCAUCUUAUUGUAGGCGUUGAGUUCCGUCUGUCUACUCAUUCAAAAUCUCAACGUGCCACGCUGGUGUGAUGUCAGACACCAAGAUUUUGUUUGAUAAUUUGAACUGAGAAGUGAAAAUAAUUAUUGAGAUUUUAUACAAUGGGAAAAUCGUGUGACUAUUCAUUGUAGUUUUCUAUAAAAUAACUAACAAGACAUUGCAAGAAAAAAUAUAUUGCAUUGACAACACCUCGCGACCAACAGCAAGUGACUGAUCAAUAUUGAUGACUAUAUAGGCACUGAAAUAUGUGAUAAUAUACAAUAUAUGACAUUGCGUGUUGUAGGUCAUGGGUAGAUGGUCGACCGAUGAAAAUUAUUAUGAUGUGGACCGCGUCAAACGGGUCAUGAUAAUAAUAUUAUAAUAUAUUUAUAUACGAAUUUCGUAUUAUAAUACCUAUAUACUAUUCGCAAUUAAUAAUUAACUCGCCCGGACACUUGUCGAUGUGACUCCACGACGAUGAAGCGAUCAAUUUAAUAAUAAUAUGUGAUACCUAUCAUGUCGGGAAAUAGUUUAUGCUCAAAUCGGCCGUCGGCGAACGCGACGAAAUAGCGUACAAUGAUGUAUAUAUAUGUUAUGCAUAUACCGUUUGGCGCCAAAGCCGUAUAAUAUUAUAUGGCUGUGACGUCGGAUUCUGCGAUCGCGCAUACGUAACGGACCACCGGGUGCAACAAGCGCGUACCCACAUGGGUACAGUGUGUUCUAUGAACACGCAACGGUCGCGAAAAUAAGAUGACGAAGAAGAAUGAGCGGAAUGAACAAAUAAAAAAAAAACGUUAAAAUUUGCAUAAUAUUAAUCAGAUGCGGACUGGUUGAGAGGGAUGAAAAAGAAACGGUUUUUUUUUCCGUUCCACUCCCGACUUUGCCGGUUUUUGUUCUGUCGUAACCGCGCGGCCGCAGCCUUUCACCCGCUCUCGCUCUGCAGCAUCCACAACAAAUAUCCGCACAGAUCAAUAGGAAUAAUAAAACACGAAGAUCAUACGAAAAUUAACGGCCGAGUCCGGGACGACGACACUGCAACACAUAACGUCCGUACCCCCUGAGCCCAUCUUCGUCGCAUACUUCGUCGCAGCAAUACGAUAAUAUAUCGUCAUCUCGUUUUUCAUCUCAUCACGCGGAGCGUCUAUCCGGACGGUCCGCCCCGCGUUUCCUCUCCCGCGGCACCACCCCGCACGCCGGAGCAUUAUAAUAUUAUUACAUAUUAUUAUAUAUAUAUUAUAAUAUGCAUACCUAUAUACAAAUACGCGCGACUAUUAUUAUUAUUUAUUAUCGUCUCGCUGUUAUUAUUGUUACCUGGGAAAAAAAAUCGUCGGUAAAAAGGGUUAUACGAAGUGCGCAUAUGUAUAAAUACGUAUAGGAAGAAAGGCCCCUUUGCAUAAAAUUUGAAUGGUAACUUAGUGUAGUUUUAUUAUUAUUAUUUUUUUUUUUUUUAAGCGUUAGUUUGCAUAUGUACGGGCGCGAGGGGGCCGCGGCGGAUCUACCUGUUAUUGCUGCUGCACCCCUCCUCCUCCGUCGGCGCGGCGAGACCAUGAGAAAAAAAGGGUUCAUUUGAAUUUUACUUUCCGGAGGAUGAGACCGGAGGGCUUUGGAUUUCGUAAAAACGAAGGGGGCGCGAUUGUGUGUUAUUUAAAAUAGGUGUCUUCUCGCCGAUGACGGCGGCGGCGGUGGUGGCGGGGUACAACCUACCGAUUCUACACCGCCGUACAUAUCACACGCUGAAUGAUAUAUCAUCUGCAUAUGCGUACGCGGGACGUACCCUUUUUUGCAUACGCGCCCGAAAGAUCGCGGGUAUAAUAUUAUAUAUCAUAUAUAUUAUAUUGUUACCGAAGCGAUGGCAGAACCCUUUCCAUUGAUACGGUAUUGAAUAUUACAGAUACGGAGAGGAACCUCUUCGUGCGCGCCUAUAUGCAUAUUAUACAUUAUAAUAUUAUUGUAAUAUGCAGAUCGAUAGGUUCCCACGACCGCGACGCGACGAAGAUUUUGCAGGCAUCUAUACAAUUAUAUUACACUGCGUAUAUUUAUAUAUAUAUAUAGGUAUAUAGGUACAUCCGCGUGCGCGAGAAUAUAAGUCGCAACGGAUGCGCGUAACUAUAUACCUGCUUGCAUAAUAAUAAUAUAUGUUAUAAUAAUGCGUUUACUAUGUUUGUAUUAUGUACUGAUCGAACGGCAACGACGUUUCCGGACCGAUUGGCAAAACCGGUAAAAACGAAUAAAACGAAUUCGCAAACGGUUUUUUAAAUUUUUUACCGUCUUAAAACCGUCAUCCGCGCUUUUGCUCUCUGUGCGUCUUUUUUGUCUAGCGGAAUUCGUUUGUUUUGCGUCCCAAGUCGCUUUUAGCACGAAUUUCGUUAUAACGGGAAUCAUCAGACGUGUAGUUCAGUAUACAAUAGACAGUAAGAUAUUUUUCGGUCUUAAAAUCGAUCCUCAUCCCUUUAUUAUGUAGCUCAUUACUGUUAUAAGCUCCUUAUUCUUUCAAUAUAGCAAUUAU